GGAGAGAAGCCCAAGGCGUCCUGGCCAACAUACCAAGCUGUAUCAUCCCUCCGGAAGUAUAGGACGUCCUGAUCUGAUUCGACCUGAUUUGUAUCCAAAGUUAUAGGACCACCCAAUAACCAGGCCCCACCUGCACUGAUACCAUUCAACAACUUUUUUUUUUACGUGAUCUUUCCUUUGUCUUGUAAAGAAAUAACUCACAUACCUAUGCCUUAUAAAUGUAGCCCUACCCUCAACACAUUGCAGCUCUUCACUGCCCAGGGGUCCUGACCCCAUGCUAUUCUCUGAAUAAAAGAGCAUACUACCAGACCAUGAGAGUCCAAGGAAUCUUUCUUUUGACUCCUCGGCUCGCCAAGCCCACAUCAGGCCAGUUGGUAGCAGAAGAGCACAGUGACCUAGGAAGCAAUAUCUUGAAGAUAAGGGAGCCACAAGAGAGAAGGAGCCUGGAUCCCUGAAUCACCACUUGAACAAGAGCCACUUAUAAAUCACAGACAUCAGUUUUGGAUUUAUGUGUGAGAUGAGUUUUACUGUAUUAAGAUGCUAAGAUUUUGCGAUUCAUCAAAUAUACUAGGCAAAGAAACACAGUGACUUGGAAGUCAUUUUUUAAAAUGGCAGAGCCACAAACCAAAGAGAGACUGGGUCUCUAAGUAUCACUUAAAGAAGAACCACUCGCCGAUGUGGAACACUCAUAUUGAACUUCACGUGAAUGAUGAAUAACCUUUGAGAUGCAUUUACAGUGAAGACAUUUUGUGAGCAUCUUCAUGCUGUGUGAUUCCUAGAUAAAGAACUGGAUGAAAAUCUGCAUCAAAAAAUACAGGGGAAAUGGACCUCUCUGAAGCCAUUCCCAGGUGACACAAUGGUCCAGACAUCCAUCCUCCUCUAGAUACUCAAAUGUUCCUCAUCAAGCUCAGUGAUACUUAUAAAAAGUCAUUUCUGGAAAACCUGAAAGUGAACAUGUGGAAUUUGCUGCAAGCUGAAAUCAUAGAGGGAACGUGCUUGUUUUCCCUCUUAAAGGAGGACCUACUUGAUAAACUCAAGGUUAUGACUUUUGUCCAGGUUUUUUGUGCCAUGAAUCGAUGUGGUGUAGACCUUGUUAUAUGAUCUGUGUAUACUCUUCCCAGCAAUGGAGAAGAAAAGAAAUGGAUGUCUUUCAGCAAACUUGUCAAAAGAGAAGACUGGAGAUUUCACUAGGACAUGAUGACAUUAUUGAUAUUAGGACUGGUGCUGCUAAUAUUUAGAGAGAAUCUUGACUAUCUGAAAGUGGUUGGGUUGAGAUUCUGCUACAGCUAAUGACUAAAUAUUUUCAACAUAAAAAUAAAUAUAAGGAGAUACUUUUAGUAAAUACGCAUUGCAUCUGCUUAACCUUUACAUUGCACAUGGAAAAAUGAAAGCGUGGUAACGAUCAUUUUAAAAGGCUUCCAAGCUAAUUAACUAAGAGCGUUUUGGCUUUACUUUUGGGUAUAUUUUUAAGUAACCAGUAACAAAAACAAAAUGAUUAUUCCUUUAGGUUGUGACUAUCUAUCAGAAAAUAAGGAAUAAGUUUAUGAGUAAGUGUGAGUACAUGAUGGAAUAUUAGUAGCCAUUAGAAGCACCUAACAGAUAAUGGAAAUCUACAUAUUAUUUCAUGAUAUAAUACUAAGACACAGAAGCAGGAUAUGAAAUGUUGUCAGUGCUACGUAACAUCUUCGUAUGGAUUCAUAUGGACAAGGACUGGACAGGAAGGUUGAAAAGUGAAAGAGCUGAUGUUAUAGGGAAGUAUUUCCUUUACUGUUAUAUCCAUGUACAAUAACUUACAAUCGGAACAAAAUCCAUACAAUUAAAAAACAUAGAGUGUGUAGGGGCUGCCCUGGUGGUGUAGUGGUUAAGUUCAUGUGCUCUGCUUCCGCAGCCCAGAAUUUGCAGGUUUGGAUCCCCAGUGUGGACCUACACACCGCCCAUCAAGCCAUCCUGUGGCAGCAUCCCAC
RNAcentral lists this long non-coding RNA (1964 nucleotides) under Equus caballus (horse). Its description in RNAcentral is "lncRNA (ENSECAG00000050770.1)". Lineage: Eukaryota; Metazoa; Chordata; Mammalia; Perissodactyla; Equidae. The record is from RNAcentral.